Molecule: ribosomal RNA, 557 nt
Filed under: Megapitaria maculata
Lineage: Eukaryota; Metazoa; Mollusca; Bivalvia; Venerida; Veneridae
Description: Macrocallista maculata partial large subunit ribosomal RNA
Source: RNAcentral
GUCUUUCGGAGUAAUUGAAUUAAAUAUGAAAGAUUUUACCUGCUCCCUGGCCGGUAUCGGUUAAAUAGCUGCACUAGCGUGUAAUAAUGUAGCGUGGUAGUUAGCUUCUUGAUUGGAAGAUAGUAUGAAUGGUAUGACGUGGAUAAGCUGUUUCGGAUAUAGUUCAUGAAGUUUCUUUUUAAGUGAAAAAGCUUAAAUUUUUGUAAAAGACGAGAAGACCCUAUCGAACUUAGAUUAGAUUUGGAUUGAUUGUUAGGUGUUAUAGUGCUUUAUUGUCGUAGAAGGUUAUUUUGAUCGUUAAUGGGAAUAAUAGUUCUAAACAGGGUAAUAACAUUGGUUCAAGUUGAAGGUUAGCUGGGGCAGCGGUGAAUAAUAAAACAUUUACUUUUAGAGUGAUGAACCCCUUAUGAGGGGGAGAAAGCAAAAGUUACCGUAGGGAUAACAGCGUAAUGACUCUUCGAAAUAAUUUAAGAAGAUGCGUGCGACCUCGAUGUUGAAUUAAAGGAGCUUUUUUGCCAGAAUCAAUUAAAGUAAAACUGUUCGUUUUUUAAAUAUUU